GGCUCCUUUCCCCAGCCUUCUCUUUCCUCAGAGGGUUUGUGCCAGUGACAGCUCCUGCAGAGGACACUUCCUAGGAACCCUGGGACGAUCUGGCUCUGUGGCUGCAACGGGCUUCCUUAUCUGGUGCCUGGAAUUCCAAGACUUUGUCUCUCAUCAUAUAUCCCCCCCUGGGUUUGUUUGAAUAUUUAGACAAACGCAGCCCUUCAGCUCUGAUAGUGGGUGUGUGGGAGCCUUUGUAUCUGUCAGGAAUGUCAUGCUCCUACCUCACAGCAAUUUAAAACCAGCAGAGAUCCCACCAGGAGCCAGGGACCGGGCAGAGCCAGAGAGCUUCUGUGUGGCCAAGAUACAAUGCUAGCCACCUCUAAAAUGCCACUGUACCCCACACACUGCAAGGCCCUUGAUGGCCUGUGAAAAGGCCCUUGUAUGUAGGUCAAAUCUCAAAUUCUCACGGUUCCCAGAUGGCUUAAAAAUGUCAACAAAGAAUCUUUCUACUUAUCAAAGAUUGUAUAUAUCCCCAUUUAAGCAGGAAGUCUGCAGAGGCCGGGGCCCAGCCUCCUGUUUAAUCUAAGAACCAGCCCUCAAGGGUUGCCUGCUGGCAAGUUAGCAACCUGUAAGUACGGGAGCCUCUUUGGAUAAAUCAAGGCUUCCGUGGAAAGAGCCUAAAUCCUAUAAAAGUAAUUUAUUUGCUUACCCAUCAAAUUAUAAUAUUCAUUUUGUUUUUGUAAACUCGCCAGUCCCCAGUUAUUAAUGCAAACCACAAGAAACUGUUUCAAGUAGGAUUUGGUCUCACAGUUUCCACCUUGAAUCUGACAUAGUCUACCUGGGAAGAUUGCAGGAAACCAUAAAUAAUUCCUAAUUCCUAAAGUGGGUCUAUGCAUAAUAAAGACUUUUUUUUGCUAUUAAAAAAAAAACCGCCAGGAGGCUGGGAACCAGGCAUCCAGGCCGGCGGGCUGCCUCAGACGACGCUGCCCUCUGUGCACGAGCAGGCGGCCGGGCAGCACGAAGGACCGUGCAGGGGGCGGGGGCGGGGGCAGGGGACCGGCCCGCGUUCUCCGGCCUCGGGCGGGCACCGGACAAGGCGCCUGAAGCCUCCCUCCUUAUCCCGAGCGGAAGGAGGGACGGCCACAGUGCGGCCCGAAAGCGGCGCCUGCACCGCCACCUCCGUCACCGGCCUGAUCCAGGGUCUGCGGCCCCCCGCCGCCUGGCAUGCCCCCGGCGACCCUGGUCCGCUGGCGUCCCCGCAGGAGGUUCCCCGCGGCGCGCGCACGGCGGGCGCUGCCUGGCCUUCGGAGGGGCGUCCCGAAAAGGGCCCUGGACGACGAGCAAGAGGAAACAAAGAGGCCCUCCUAGGUGUCCCUGGACUCCUUUCUGCACCUCACCCGGUCCAGCUGGGCUCCAGAUGAGAAAUAUUAACCAACACUCCGUCUGUCUACAAUCAUCGCCAGUGACGCUUUCAUUCAAGAUAUUCCGAGAGCAUGCAAGGUCUUCUUGGUUCCCAGCAAAGCACCUGAAAUGACCUCAUUCUGGAGAUGGAUGAGCAAAGCUCUCCACACAUCCCUCUUCUACAUGAAAAACAUGCUUUGGGGAGGUCUCCUUUCCCUGGUAUUUCUCUCCUGAAGGCAGUGAUCUUUGCCUCUUUUCAGUGGCCUUUCCUGUUCCAGAUUCUGUUAUGUUCCCUAGUGAGCCAGUAAAAUUUCCCUUUUUGGAACUGUUUCAAGUUGAGGAGGGUUUUUAUAACCAUGAUACUCCUGAUGACAAAUGGAUUCGCUUCUCAGCAUCUGCUUUUGACCUCGCUUCAAACGGACGGAGGGCCAGAGAACAUUUGAGAGCUAAAGGCCCAAUUCUAAAGAAUUGAGCCCACAUCUUGUCCCUUCCAGGGAUUAUUUCCCUGCUUCUGAAAUAUCUUUUCCAUGCCUCAUUAGGCUGUUUCGUACCUUGCUUUCAACUUUGUAUUCUCAACCAGAGCUGAAAAAGUGAAGUAGAGGCAACCCCAAAGACCUGUGGGAGUCAGGGAGUGCAGAGGAGGCCUGCAUCUUCUGCAGACUGUGAGUGUGGUCACUGCCCUCCACCAGGUCCCUUCCUGCCUCAGGUCAUCACAAGCCACUGCCCGUGGUCUGGGGGGAACGUUCCUGAGUGGUGAAAUGGCCAAUGAAGAUCUCAGAAAGGCUGGGAAGGAGGAGAAACAGAGUUCAUGGACAGAGAUACAGCCAGGUCCUAGGACCUAAGGCAGCAGCACCUUUAAAAGCACCACACCUUAGGUGCAGGGGACAAGGCCUGGGGUGGGGCCUAACCUGAGUGGUUCAUUAGUUGGGGGAACGAGUUGCACUAAAGGCUCCACUCCAAGCAUCAAGACAUUGAGGUCUUAACCUAAGGAUAAACUUACAGAUCCAUGGAAUAGAACUGAGAAUCCAGAAACAAACCCGUGGGUCUAUGCUCAAUUGAUUUUGGACAAGAUGCCAAGACAACUCAAUGUAGAAAGAUUGUCUUUUUAACAAAUGGUACUGAGACAAGUGGAUAGCCACAUGCAAAUGAACCUACGCUAUAGACAAAAAUUAACUCAAAAUGGAUCAAAGACCUAAAUGUAAGAGCUAAAAUUAUAAAGCUCUUAGAAAAAAAUAUAGGAGUAAAUCUUCAUGAUCUUCGAUUUGGCAAUGGAUUCUUAAACAGGACACCAAAAGCAUAAGCAAGAAAAUUAAAAAAUACAUAAAUUGGACUUCAUCAAAAUUAAAAACUUUUGUGCUUCAAAUAGCACCAUCAAAAAAGUGAAAAGACAACCCACAGAAUGGGAGAAAAUAUUUUAAAAUCAUAUAUCUGAUAAGGGACUUGUAUCCAGAAUAUAUAAAUUAAAUAUAUAUAUUAAAUUUAUAUAUUUAAUAUAUUGAUAUAUAUAAAUGAUAUAUAUUUAUAUAUUAAAUUAUUCAUUGUAAGAAUAAUAAAAAACCAAAUAACCCAGUAAAAAAAUGAGCAAAGGAUCUGAAUAGACAUUUGUUCAAGGAAGAUACACAAAUGGCCAAUAGCGCAUGAAAAUAUACUCGACAUCAUUGGUCAUCAAGAAAAUGCAAAUCAAAACAACAAUGAGAUACCACUUCACACUCACUAGGAUGGCUAUAAUAAAAAAAGUCAGAUAAUAGCAAGUGUUGGCAAGUGGAACAAUUGCAACCCUCAUACACUGCUGGUGGGAAUGUAAAAUGCUGCAGCCACUUUGAAAACAGUCUGACAGUUCUUCAAAGGGUUAAACAUAGAGUUACCGUAUGACCCAGCAAUUCUACACUUAGGUCCAUACCUAAGAGAAGUGAAAACAAGUGUUCAAACAAAAACUUGUGCACAAAUGUUCAUAGCAGCAAAAACAGCAACCAAAAGGUGGACACAACCCACAUGUUCAUCAGGGACAAAUGGAUAAACAAAAUGUGGUCUUUCCAACACAAUAGAAUGUUAUUCAGCAAUAAAAAGGAAUUGUAGGGGUUAUGAGAGACUUGGGGGGUGAAAAGGAAAAAGAGAUGACCAUGAGAGGCAGUAACACACAGCAAGCUUUCUCAGGUGGCACUUGGACAGGGUUGCACAUGAAGGAAGUUCCUCCCAGUGUGAGACACUGCAGAGGCUAUGGAAAGCAGGCCACCGUGCUGAAGGGGAGGUGGGCAAAGGCAAUCCUGGGGGAGGGGGACCAGGAAGGGGGCGUCUGUGUCCAGAGGAUGUCGCUGAGCAGCAUGGCAGGCAGGCUUUGGGUCAGGGAGCUCUGAAGGGCAGUAGCACCUUGGAGCCUUAAAACAGCAACACCAUCUGAUCAAGGGCCAGCAGAUUCUAGGUGUAGUGUCCCAGGGUAUGCAAAGCAGGCAGACCCUAAAUGGGUAAACGUCUGCUUGUCUGAGCUAUUCUUAAAACAAUUGGUUGUAUAAAAUUUUAAUUGUGGCACCAGCAGGCUUUUGAGCGAAGGGGUCUCAGCCUGCUGUGAAGAAAUAAAUAACCUAGAAGCCAAAACACAUCUUUGGCUCAUUUAUACAAUAGGAACGAAGUACUGAGACCUGCUACAGUGUGGAGGAACCUUGACAACAUCAUGCUAGGUGAAAGAAGCCAGUCACAGCAGACCACAUAUGAUAUGAUCCCAUAUGAAAUGUAUGGAGUAGGCAAAUCUACACAGACAGAAAGUGGAUUAGUGGUUGCAGUGGGUUACAUGGGGCAUCGGGGGUCAGGGGUGAUAUACAAAAGGUAUGAGGUUUCUUUUGGGAUGAUGAAAAUGUUCCAGAAUUGACUGUGGUGAUGGUUACAUAACUCUGUGAAUAUACUAAGAGCCAUUGAAUUAUGUACUUUAAAUGCAUGAAUUAUAUGUAUGUGAAUUAUUUCUCAAUAAAGUGCUCCAAAAAGAAAAAAAUUAAAACAUAAAAAAAGUAAAAGGUCCCACCCACAGGCUGCCCUCUCUACCACCAAUGUUUUAGUGUUACAUGAGCAGACAGGCCCUUUCAUGGCAACAUGUGACCACGACUAUUAAACAGGCCCCACUGUCAGUGAAGGCUGUUAGUCGCUAAGUCUGAAUUUUCCAAUGACGUGAACAUUAGUCUCAGGUUGAUGAGCAAUAGAGCACAUGUAUUCUUUUUUAAUUCAAACUUACAGAAAACUUAGAGAAAAUUUGCAGGAAUGUAUAAAGAACUGUCAUAGAACCUUCACCAGAUUCACCAAUUGUUAGCAUUUUGCCACAUUUGCUUUCUCCAUAGUUGAUAGAUAGACAGAUAGAUAGACAGAUAGAUAGAUAGAUGAUUGAUAGAUAGAUAGAUAGAUGAUAAAUAGGUAGAUAAUCCCCAGCAUUUCUUUCAGAACUAGUGUGAGAUAUCCUUUGCCCUUGAAUGGUGCUCUGUACCCUUACAUGCUGCAGCAUGCAUUUCCUCAGAACAAGAACAUUCUCUUAUAUAUCAUAAAAUUCAGGAGACGUAGUAUUGACGUAUUACUAUUAGUUAAUAUAGCAUCAGACUUUACCAAUUGUUCUGAUAACGUCCUCUGUGGCAUCCCCGACCCCACCCCCAUCCGUGACCCAGGAUUACACAUUGCAAUUGUGAGUCAUGUCUUUCAGUCCCCUUUGAUCUCAAACUGGUCUUCACUCUUUUUUGUCUUUCAUAAUAUCAAUUUUUCUGAAGAGCACAGGCGAGUUGUUCCACAGACGCCCUCAGUUUGGGUCUGUCUGAUGUGUCCUCGUGAAAAGACUUGGCUUUGCAUUUUUAGCAGGUGUUAAAUAAUGGCCCCCAAAGACCAAAGGUCUUAAUCCCUAGAACCUGUAAGUGUCGCCUUUAAUGGAGAAAGGGUCUCUGCAGGUGUGAUGAAGUUAGGGAUCUUGAGAUGGGGAGAUCAGAUCAUCCUGGAUUAUCCAGGUGGGCCCUAAGUGCAGCCGUGUAAAUCCUUAUGAGAGAAAGUCAGAGGGAGAGUUCACACCCACAGAAGAGCAGGAGGCCACAUGACCAGAGGCGGAGAUGGAGUGAUGUGGCCACAAGCCAAGGAGUGCUGGCGGCCCCCAAAAGCUGGAAGAGGCAAGGAACAGGUCCUCCCCUAGAGCCUCUGGAAGGAGCAGGGCCCGGGCCGACCUUAAGUUUGGCUCACUGACUGAUUUCAGACCUCUGGCCUCCAGAACAUGAGAGAAUAAAUUUCUGUAGCUUUAAGCUACCCAGUUUGUCGUAACUUUUUACAGCACCUGCAAGAAACUAAUACAGCAGGAAUAGCACAGAAAUGCUGUCGUGUCCCUGCUGCAUUGAAUCAGGAGGCACUGGAUGUCACUCUGUCCCAUUUGUCAUUUUGUUAAUAUUGAUCACUUAUAGUUAAGGUGAUGUCCUCCAGGUUUCUCCACUGUAAAGCUAGUAUUUUUUCCUUUGAAAUUAAUAAAUAACUUGUGAGGAGAUACUUUGAGACUAUAUAAAUAUCCUAUUUGCCAUCAGACUUUCCCCUACUAGUUUUAGCAUCUAAUGGUGAUUCUUGCCUGAAUUAAUUGUUACUCUGAUGAUUGCAAAUGGUGAUUUUCUAAAUGGAACUAAUUAUAAAUUUAUUAGUUGGCAUUAGACUGUAAGAAAGCACAUUCCCUUCCUUCUCCAGAUUUGUUUAUUUAUCUAUUCAUUUCUAUCAAUAUGGACUCAUAGAUUACUGUUUUAUUCAAAAGGUUAUAAUCUGUCCCAAUCACUGUUUAUUCUGAUAUUCAGAUUAUCCUAGAUUUGACCAGUGGGGGCCCUUUCGAGCAGACCUCUGUGUCCUUUUUUCUUCUCUUUUUUCUUUUCUCUCUCUCUGCUCCCACCCCUACCCCUGUGGUCCUUUUGACAUGUUUCCAUCGUUACUUCCUAGCACAAAAAUCUAUUUCAGACUCAUCUCAUACUUUCCCUAACCAGUCACGGAAUCUGCCAUUUCUUCAAGGAAGGCUGGCUCCACUCAGUAGGAAAAGGUAUUUAGAAACCAAGAUCUGGGCACCAGGUGACACACAUAUUCUCGAAAGGUUUCAUUUAGCACCAGCCUUUGCUGAUGGAUAGACUCUGAGCUGAGGGAAGGGGCUAGCAAGGUUCUCCAGGCAGCACUGCAACUGUGUGAGGAGCUGUGUUUCCAGGUAUGGUCCUGGGGGACCCCAAGCGGGGGGAGGCAGAGCAGGAAAGGUUCUCUUACAGGAUGAAUUGUGUCCCCUCCAAAUUCUUGGAAGUCCUAACCCCCAGGACUUCAGAAUAUGAACUUAUUCGGAGAUAGGUCUUUACAGAGGUAUUCGAGUUAACGUGAGGUCUUAGGGUAGGCCCGCAUUGAGCAUAACUGGUAUCCUUAUAAAAAGGGGAAAUUUGGACACAGAGAUGUGUCUGGAGGAAAGACCGUGUGAAGGGAGAAGACACCAACUACAAGCCAGAGAGAGGUCGACAGAAGAGCCUUCCCUCACAGCCCUGCUGAUGCUCGAUAUAGGAUGUUCGGCCUCCGGAACUGCGAGAUGACACAUGUCUGUUUGUGGGACUUUGUCGUGGCAGCCCUAGCAGGCUUCUUGUUCCCCCCCCCGCAUCCCUCAACCAAAAUGUUUCUACUUUGCUUUAACAUUUUGUUUGAAAAACAGUAUUUGUUGGUUUAAAAUAAAAGUUUGGAAAUUCGUCGUUCUCCUCCACACCUUUCCCAUUACACAGAUAAGAAUGCUGAUGUCCAGAGAAGUCAUUCCUUUGCAGUCUCAAAGCCCUUUCCGGUGACUCACAUUUUGCUUUCUUGGAGGUUGAAGAAGAAAAUGAAGGAAGGAAAGGAGGGGGGCUGGACCAGUGUCUUGUGAGGCUGCAGUAUGGCUACUGUAGAAGGACCAUGCCUGCG
Long non-coding RNA from Equus caballus (horse), 7290 nucleotides. The record is from Ensembl. NCBI's taxonomy places the organism in Eukaryota, Metazoa, Chordata, Mammalia, Perissodactyla, Equidae.